CCCCAUCUGUCAUCUGUUUACAUUGCUGUUAUAAUUGACUGCAUCAGAAUCAGUUAUCAGAUGCAUAUCAGAAGGGGGAAUUGCAGGAGCUGUUGGAGAAGGCAAUGUUGUCCUGAAGCUAUGGAAGGAAUGAGAGGACUUUCCCAAGUUUGUACUUUGUAAUCUUCCCCCUAAAGUUAUACUGUGGCUCAGUGACAAUGGACCAAAUAAAUUGUAUGAUGCAUUUUGUGUCCACAAUUGCCUAUUAUGAUUACUGCAAUACAAAUAUCCCGGUAUUUGAGUACAAAACAGAUAAGUCACAAUUAUACCCUU
This is a long non-coding RNA of Glycine soja, 312 nucleotides long. RefSeq lists it as uncharacterized. The transcript has 2 exons. The record is from RefSeq and is a predicted model, not a curated record. Lineage: Eukaryota; Viridiplantae; Streptophyta; Magnoliopsida; Fabales; Fabaceae.